CUUCAGAGGAAUGUCCUAGGGACCCUUCGCAAUGGUAGCAUCGGACUUGCACCCGUGGGGACGGUGGGAAUUUACCUCCCUAUAUUAACCAGACUUUACAAAUUCAAAGUACUUCCUGCAGAGGGUGCUUUUACUUACGGGAAACCUAUUACAUUCGUCUCAUCAACCUAAGUCAUAUUUUUGCCCCGAGUCCCUUCAUCUCCCAUCUGUUCCUCCACCGUCUUCCUUUCUCACACUAGGUGUGUCCUCUGCCCUCUCUGCCUGGAGUGGCCACAAAACCCGGAAAGGUGGAAUCUGCUCAUUUUUAACUCUUGGGCGACUCCGGCGCUGGGCAUGCUCAGUAGUGAGAAAAGGUGCUGGUUGCGAGAAGGAAGCUUCUCCUCCUGCUGCAGAGAGAGCUGGGGCAGAGGAAGAGGAGAAGGAGGAGGAGGAGGAGGAGGAAGAAGAAGGAAAAGAAGAAGAAAAGGAGGUGGAGGUGGAGGAGGAGGAGGUGGAGGUGGAGGAGGGAGGCAACGCUGGCGGGCGGAGCUGUAGCCUCCCGGGAGCUUGGGAGCCUGAGCCCGAGCCCGUGAAAGUUAAACACAGGUGCUCUCUAAUAGAAGCCUAUGAUCUCAAACUGAGACCAUUGAUUUGACGUUAAAAAGGAUAUGUAAGCAACUGAGCAAACAUUGAAGAAAUACAUAAAGUACUAUCAUUGUUUAAGUGCAAAGCCUUCGUCUAUUCUUUAAGUGGUGAGUGAAGGGGAGAUGUGUGAAUUGGAUGGUUGGACAGGGUGAAAAAAAAUCAGUUUUAUGAAGGUUGGGUUUCAAGAGCUGCUUGAGUGAAAGAAAAAGGAGAAGGCUUAGUGAGAGAAGCCUGGGGUAGGUUAUCCUAAGCAGAAGAGGAAGUUCAAAUAGCAAGGAGAUCAUUAUGUGCAACAAUGGGAGAGAGUAGAUGGAGGGGGUGAGGGGUGGGGAGUAAAAGGACAGAUAAUGAACAAAUGGGCCUGACCAGACUGGAAGAAUUUCUGCAAUACAGCACUCUCUAAACUCUUCUCCUAGCACUUCCAUUAUUCUUUUUGUCUUCUUACCUGGCUCUUCUUUCUCUCUAAAAUAUUGACAUCUACUGAGGUUCUCUUUUCGGUCUUUUGUUCUUUUCUGUGUUCUGGGAAGAAUUUCAUUCUCUCCCACAACUUUAACUCUCUCCUCAGAGUGAAGGAUUGUCCAGUUAAAUCUUCAACUUUCAUCUUCUUGAGUGACUAUCCCACAUCUCUCUUCUUAUGUGGUUGACAUUUCUUCUUCCUCUUUGAGUCCUUCCUUAAUCCUUCCUGUUUUUAAUAUUCUCUUUCUCCUCAAAUUACUUUGUACUUAUUUUUUUAUAUACAUACUGAAUCCUUCCCUAUGGAAUAUGAGCUCCUUGAGGGUAAGAACUAUUUCAUUUGAUCUUUAUUGUGAUUAUUCAUAAUACAAGUUGGCUCAUAGUACUUUAAAGUGGACAAAAUAUCUUAUCUUGUUUAAUCCUUGUAACAAGCCUGUGAGGUCCUAUAUGUUUAUUUAAUAUGCUUUCAUUUGCAUUCAGUCUCUAUCAGUUAUUUCUCUGUAGGUGAUAUUAUAUAAUUAGGGCUUUUUCUCCAGAACUCUAAAUCCCAGCUUCCC
Monodelphis domestica (gray short-tailed opossum) is the source of this 1634-nucleotide long non-coding RNA. The record is from Ensembl. NCBI's taxonomy places the organism in Eukaryota, Metazoa, Chordata, Mammalia, Didelphimorphia, Didelphidae.